UCUAAAAAUUGUGUGUUAAUCAUACCGGUCCAAGAUUUAUUUACUUCUGUCACACUUGCACCGGGAAUACACACAAAAGAAAAUUGAG
Sinocyclocheilus grahami is the source of this 88-nucleotide long non-coding RNA. RefSeq lists it as uncharacterized. The transcript is spliced from 3 exons. The record is from RefSeq and is a predicted model, not a curated record. Lineage: Eukaryota; Metazoa; Chordata; Actinopteri; Cypriniformes; Cyprinidae.